UACACUCCUACGGGAGGCAGCAGUGGGGAAUUUUGGACAAUGGGCGAAAGCCUGAUCCAGCAAUGCCGCGUGAGUGAAGAAGGCCUUCGGGUUGUAAAGCUCUUUUGUCAGGGAAGAAACGGUGAGAGCUAAUAUCUCUUGCUAAUGACGGUACCUGAAGAAUAAGCACCGGCUAACUACGUGCCAGCAGCCGCGGUAAUACGUAGGGUGCAAGCGUUAAUCGGAAUUACUGGGCGUAAAGCGUGCGCAGGCGGUUUUGUAAGUCUGAUGUGAAAUCCCCGGGCUCAACCUGGGAAUUGCAUUGGAGACUGCAAGGCUAGAAUCUGGCAGAGGGGGGUAGAAUUCCACGUAUAGCAGUGAAAUGCGUAGAUAUGUGGAGGAACACCGAUGGCGAAGGCAGCCCCCUGGGUCAAGAUUGACGCUCAUGCACGAAAGCGUGGGGAGCAAACAGGAUUAGAAACCCUGGUAGUCC
RNAcentral lists this ribosomal RNA (472 nucleotides) under uncultured organism. RNAcentral's name for it is "partial 16S ribosomal RNA". It matches the Rfam family "Bacterial small subunit ribosomal RNA", at positions 332 to 796 of the family's 1533-position model. The record is from RNAcentral.